UUGAUGGGUUCCAGUAUUGUUGACUUUGAGGUAAAACGAAGAAGAAAGUAAAAAUUAGGGUUUUCCAUCCUGAUCGAUUUCUAACUUUUCUCUUUUGAUUCGUGGUGAAAAUGCUGCAAUUCAUGGCUUCCCACAUCGGUGGCUAUUGAAAGCCGUUUAUGUUUUAUAUAGUCUUGCCUCGCAUCAUACAUCGUCCCUUCGGGGACAUCCGAUAAAAUUGGAACGAUACAGAGAAGAUUAGCAUGGCCCCUGCGCAAGGAUGACACGCACAAAUCGAGAAAUGGUCCAAAUUUUUUUUUUUUUGCCCUAAUUCGCUCGAUCGAUUGCUGCAGAUUCAGCGGCGUAUGUCCGAAUUUUUUUUUGCCCCAAUUUGCUAGAUCGAUUCCUGCAGAUUGGGCGGCGUAUUUCACUAGUUUUUUUAAUUCAAUAGCUCCAGAAAGCUUUUUCUUCGAUGAUUGAUGGAAAUAAUGAAGAGAUGUCUACAUCCGAGUUGUAUGGAGGCGCUCGAAUACAUUAUAUUUUCCGGUUAAUAUUCGUUAAAAGUUUAGAGGAGACUGAUCCAUGGAAAGGUGGUAAAUCGGGCUGUCGUUAUGUGUUUUUGCUUAACACAAUACGAUACAAAUUAUUUUUUGUUAACCCGGACACGACGUGAUAGCGUGUUGUUUUUCAUUAACACGAAUACGACUCAAAAAAAAAAAAAAACACGAUAAUACGACAAAAAUAACAAAAACUGACUAUUUGCAUAAUCUCAUACAUAAGUUCUUGUAAAAAAGUUUAUUUAAACACGACAAAAAAUAACAUAAAACAACAUAGUUAACUGCUAAAUACACGUCUUUUGAACACGAACACAAAGUUUUGUGCUAUUAUCGUUUAAAUUUUGAACAUGAAUACAACACGACAUCAGAACCUCAAUACAGAAUGCAAUUGACUCACGAAUUGUAAUGUUUGUGCCUAAUAUUUGACCGAUGAUGACCUUUUUUUUUUCAAAUAUUGAUAUCUGUAUGGACGAUUUUCUUCUUUUUAAUUUGUUAAUUGAUAUAUAAUGGUCUUGUGGUAUGUAUUUUUUUUCAUACGAUUUAGUCCAAAUUUUGAUUUUUUGGAUUUGUGGUCCUUUUAAGCUAGUUUCGUUGCGAAUUUGGUCGCCCAGUAAAGUAAAAUGGUUGUAAUACCCAAAAUGGUUUUAAUACCUUUGAGAUAUUUAUUUUUUA
Molecule: long non-coding RNA, 1208 nt
Organism: Lactuca sativa (garden lettuce)
Lineage: Eukaryota; Viridiplantae; Streptophyta; Magnoliopsida; Asterales; Asteraceae
Source: RefSeq, a predicted model, not a curated record